GGUCCCAUCGUCUAGCGGUUAGGACGCUGGCCUCUCACGCCGGAAACCCGGGUUCGAUUCCCGGUGGGAUCACCA
Molecule: transfer RNA, 75 nt
Filed under: Desulfobacter postgatei
Lineage: Bacteria; Pseudomonadati; Thermodesulfobacteriota; Desulfobacteria; Desulfobacterales; Desulfobacteraceae
Also listed under: 4 other names
Description: tRNA-Glu
Rfam family: tRNA
About the family: Transfer RNA (tRNA) molecules are approximately 80 nucleotides in length.
Source: RNAcentral